This is a long non-coding RNA of Salmo trutta (river trout), 1734 nucleotides long. The record is from Ensembl. NCBI's taxonomy places the organism in Eukaryota, Metazoa, Chordata, Actinopteri, Salmoniformes, Salmonidae.
AUGCCAACUAAUAUAUUUGGGUUCAGUUGUCUUAACAAAACGUUUGUUUGUUUUCAGGAUGACAUCUUCAUCCCUGAAAAUGUUUUCAUCCUGGAGGAGACUGCGCAGGAGGAAGAGGAAAGAACGGUUAAUACAGCAUGCCAAACUGACCCCUGGGUGCCAGAUUGUUCCUGUGCUGCGGUGGAGAAGAAGUCCACCGGUACCAUCACUAAAGAGCUCGGGGCCCAGCUAGAUUGCGCUGACGACCAUCAGUAUACAACCGAGUCCUGCCCCUAUACGCCACAGAUGGAGCUGACGGAGAGUGAGAUGAGUGAAGACCAGGACUCGCUGUAUGAACCUGAGAGCUCAGAAUCACAAUCAUCACAGUGCGAGCCAAGAUAUACUAUCGAUCACUUUGGGGUAGCGGGAUGGCGUUCCGAAAAUGGGAAAGGAGCGUGCCAUUCAACAGCGAAUUCAAAGAUACACCCAUCCAUAAAGGGAAUCGGAGUGGACUGCAGAUUACAUUUUUAUUUUUUUAAACGUUUCAAUGGAUGUGCAACCUUGUCCUAGUCCUGCUGUUUCAACUCUCUCUUUCAACCUAUCAAUUCUCAGUUAUGAAAAGCCAACUGACAUUUGCUCCUGAGGCAUUGAACUGUUGCACCCUCUAUAACCAUUGUGGUUAUUAUUUUGAUGUAAAAUGGGCUUUUGUAAAAAUAAAAAAAUAAAACAUUUUAUUGAUUGUCUGAGUGAUGGGACAUUUUAAUAGUAUCUGUAACAUAUUUUGGUGCGUAUUUAAUCUGCAUCUCAACUUCAUAAAGUGGCAAUCCGCAGUAGAAACAAUAACAAAGUGUCUCCCUGCUCCUCUUUCUGUAAAAAGCUGAGGGAUGGGUCUGGAGAAAUGUAAGCACUCUCAAAUGCAUAGACAGAGCUAUAGAUGCAAGGACUGACCAUCCAUCCAUGAUAUCAAAAUUGUAAUCCUGUUUCUAUGAUCUGUUUCCACUACCAUGUACCCAGUUCGCUUUGGAUAAAGGCGUCUGCUAAAUGGCAUAUAUUAUUAAAGUGUACUUUGACUCUGUCAACUAGCUACCCAGUGUAGUUACCAUUCCUUUCCAAUAGAUGGCAGCCAACGCUAGUUGAAGUCGCUACUUUAGCGACAGGGACACGGGAUUAGUGCGCACUGAAAGUUGUUUAUUCUUCAAAGCAAGUUUUCUGGUUACGCUUGAACCUGUUAUAGUGGACAAGCUAACAAGUACUAUUUUUACAUACGGUGCAGGCAUUAGGUCUAUGUCUUUAGGCUAGGCUAGAUUUACUAAAUGAACUGGGUUUAUUCAAUGCCUUUGCUUCUGGCUAUGCGCGCUUUAUGGAAGAAACGACACACGCAGGGAUGAGAUACCGUACACCUCGUCCAAUUCUCACUCCCCAUUAUUGGUUAGAAUGAGAUUAAAUGAAUCAUGAUGCUGUCUGCGAUUCGGACUCCGGUCGUUUAAUCAAACGUUAAAUGUGUUACCCAUGAUGAUGAUGAAAUGUGUUCAUCAUCAGCGCCAAACAGCGCUGAUGAUGAACAUCGUUAUAGGAUACUGAUUAUAUAUAUUGAGCACCUACCCACGACUGAUAUAAACCUUAAACAAUUUAUAAUCAAGCAACAUUUCGCCAAUUAUUUAACUGGCAUAUCGGCCGCUGACUGGCCGAGUAACCUAUUAUUUUGUAUUUGUUGUGUUCACAAUAAAAAUAAAAUAAUAAAAACAUAUAUUUUUU